Molecule: unclassified non-coding RNA, 517 nt
Filed under: plant metagenome
Description: partial contains 5.8S ribosomal RNA, internal transcribed spacer 2, and large subunit ribosomal RNA
Rfam family: 5.8S ribosomal RNA (bases 1-105)
Source: RNAcentral
UAGCUGCGAUAAAUAGUGCGAACUGCAGAUGCAUUGAGCACGGAGAUUUCGAAUGCACAUUGCGCCAUUGGAUCUCGGUCCUUUGGCACGUCUGUUUCAGGGUCGUAAAUACUCUAAAUCCACUGCUAGUGUUUCGUGGAUAUAUGAGCACUUUGUGCUAAUGAGAUAUGCUGCCUUUUCCCUCAAUAAAGAGCAACAUAUCAUGUGGUUGAAUGUGGCGCACAAUGUUGAGAUAUGACCGCCUAAUCAUGUCACACUCGUUGUCGUCGAUAUGACUGAGUUGGCUGAUUGUCAGUCUUUGGUUGGUUAAGAAUGUGAUCCGAUCGUUUAUGCUGCCUGCUUAAGAUGGAUCUGUUUUGACUGGCUGAAGUCCUGCGCUUCACUGGGGAUCGCUGCCGCCAUCACUAUAGCCUCGAUAGCUUUCGUUGUUAGUGGUGGUGGUGUGGUGGUCUAUUGGAAUGCAGCCCGUUUCGAAUUUCGACCUGAACUCAGACGUGAUCACCCGCUGAACUUAAGC